ACUAAUUUGGCAGAAAAAUUGUGUCAAAUUUAGAAUUUGAAUAUGGAAAUUCCAAUUAGUG
Molecule: transfer RNA, 61 nt
Filed under: Ixodes granulatus
Lineage: Eukaryota; Metazoa; Arthropoda; Arachnida; Ixodida; Ixodidae
Description: tRNA-Leu
Source: RNAcentral